Molecule: small nucleolar RNA, 89 nt
Organism: Marchantia polymorpha subsp. polymorpha
Lineage: Eukaryota; Viridiplantae; Streptophyta; Marchantiopsida; Marchantiales; Marchantiaceae
Rfam family: Small nucleolar RNA Z103
About the family: This family consists of several snoRNA Z103 sequences which are members of the C/D class of snoRNA which contain the C (UGAUGA) and D (CUGA) box motifs. This family seems to be found exclusively in plants. C/D box small nucleolar RNAs are known to act as a methylation guides for 18S ribosomal RNA.
Source: Rfam
AUGGAAAUGAGGAUCCUUUCCCCAAAUGAUCGAAUCUGAUUCAAACUGUGCGACAAGCUCCUAGGAGCCAAGCCAGAAAACUGAUCCAU